Molecule: ribosomal RNA, 497 nt
Filed under: uncultured bacterium
Lineage: Bacteria
Description: partial 16S ribosomal RNA
Rfam family: Bacterial small subunit ribosomal RNA
Source: RNAcentral
GACGAACGCUGGCGGCGUGCCUAAUACAUGCAAGUUGAGCGCUGAAGGUUGGUCCUUGUACCAACUGGAUGAGCAGCGAACGGGUGAGUAACGCGUGGGGAAUCUGCCUUUGAGCUGGGGACAACAUUUGGAAACGAAUGCUAAUACCGCAUAAAAACUUUAAACACAAGUUUUAAGUUUGAAAGAUGCAAUUGCAUCACUCAAAGAUGAUCCCGCGUUGUAUUAGCUAGUUGGUGAGGUAAAGGCUCACCAAGGCGAUGAUACAUAGCCGACCUGAGAGGGUGAUCGGACACAAUGGGACUGAGACAAGGCCCAAACUACAACGGGAGGCAGCAGUAGGGAAUAUUCGGCAAUGGACGAAAGUCUGAUCGAGAAACGCCGCGUGAGUGAAGAAGGGUUUCGGAUCGUAAAACACUGUUGGUAGAGAAGAACGUUGGGGAGAGUGGAAAGAUCAUCAAGUGACGGUAACUACCCAGAAAGGGACGGAUAACUACGUG